RNAcentral lists this ribosomal RNA (1182 nucleotides) under uncultured organism. RNAcentral's name for it is "bacterial SSU rRNA". It matches the Rfam family "Bacterial small subunit ribosomal RNA", at positions 199 to 1411 of the family's 1533-position model. The record is from RNAcentral.
GAGUAAAGAUUUCGGUCGCUUUGGGAGGAGCUCGCUUACUAUCAGCUUGUUGGUAGGGUAAUGGCCUACCAAGGCUAUGACGGUUAGGGGGUGUGAGAGCAUGACCCCCAGCAUUGGCACUGAAACACUGGCCAAACACCUACGGGUGGCUGCAGUCGAGAAUCUUCCACAAUGGGGGAAACCCUGAUGGAGCGAUGCUGCGUGCGGGAUGAAGGCCUUCGGGUUGUAAACCGCUUUUGUAGGGGACGAAAUUUUUGACGGUACCCUUUCGAAUAAGAGGUUGCUAACUCUGUGCCAGCAGCAGCGGUAAUACAGAGACCUCAAGCGUUAUCCGGAUUUACUGGGCGUAAAGCGUCUGUAGGGGGUUUAUUAAGUUCCAAGUAAAAUUUCAAGGCUCAACUUUGAAUUCGCUUGGAAAACUAAUAAACUGGAGUCUAGCAGAGGUGCAUGGAACUUGUGGUGUAGGAGUGAAAUCCGUUGAUAUCACAAGGAACACCAAAGGCGAAGGCAUUGCACUGGGCUAGCACUGACCCUGAGAGACGAAAGCGUGGGGAGCAAAACGGAUUAGAUACCCGUGUAGUCCACGCCCUAAACGAUGAAUGCUAAAUGUUCGGGGAUUCGACCCCCUGGGUGUUACAGCUAACGCGUUAAGCAUUCCGCCUGGGAAGUACGGCCGCAAGGCUAAAACUCAAAGGAAUAGACGGGGAUCCGCACAAGCGGUGGAGCGUCUGGUUUAAUUCGACAGUAAGCGUGGUACCUCACCAGGGUUUGACAUCCCUUGACAGCCUUGGAAACAAGGUUUCCUUCGGGCAAGGUGACAGGUGCUGCAUGGUCGUCGUCAGUUCGUGCCGUGAGGUGUUCCGUUAAGUCGGGAAACGAACGAAACCCCUAUUGCAUGUUACAAUUUCUCAUGCAAGACUGCCCGGAUGUACUGGGAGGAAGGUGGGGAUGACGUCAGAUCUGCAUGGUCCUUAUACCCUGGGCGACACAGGCGCUACAAUGGCAGAGACAAAGGGUUGCAAAACCGCCAGGUGAAGCUAAUCCCAAAAACUUUGUCUAAGUUCGGAUUGAAGGCUGCAAUUCGCCUUCAUGAAGCUGGAAUCGCUAGUAAUCGUGAAUCAGCCACGUCACGGUGAAUAUGUUCCCGGAUCUUGUACUCACCGCCCGUCACACCAAGAGAGU